Molecule: ribosomal RNA, 463 nt
Filed under: uncultured bacterium
Lineage: Bacteria
Description: bacterial SSU rRNA
Rfam family: Bacterial small subunit ribosomal RNA
Source: RNAcentral
GGUUCGAUUAUGGCUCAGAUUGAACGCUGGCGGCAGGCCUAACACAUGCAAGUCGAGCGGAAACGAAGAGGUGCUUGCACCUCUGGCGUCGAGCGGCGGACGGGUGAGUAAUGCUUGGGAAUAUGCCUUAUGGUGGGGGACAACAGUUGGAAACGACUGCUAAUACCGCAUGAUGUCUACGGACCAAAGUGGGGGACCUUCAGGCCUCACGCCAUAAGAUUAGCCCAAGUGGGAUUAGCUAGUUGGUGAGGUAAUGGCUCACCAAGGCGACGAUCCCUAGCUGGUUUGAGAGGAUGAUCAGCCACACUGGGACUGAGACACGGCCCAGACUCCUACGGGAGGCAGCAGUGGGGAAUAUUGCACAAUGGGCGAAAGCCUGAUGCAGCCAUGCCGCGUGUGUGAAGAAGGCCUUCGGGUUGUAAAGCACUUUCAGUAAGGAGGAAAGGUUAAGUGUUAAUAGCAC